This is a long non-coding RNA of Cervus elaphus (red deer), 674 nucleotides long. RefSeq lists it as uncharacterized. The transcript has 2 exons. The record is from RefSeq and is a predicted model, not a curated record. Lineage: Eukaryota; Metazoa; Chordata; Mammalia; Artiodactyla; Cervidae.
ACAAUGUCUUUUUCUAUAAUACCGUUCCUUUGUGGUAUUCCAUCUUUAAUGUAAUAGAUAUUAUGCUGUUUCUUGCUCAGAAUCACCUUGGAGGACUUUUUAAAAAUUCAGAUCAGCAACUUUGAGUUGUAGAGGAGGGAAAACCAGGGCAAUGUAAAUAACCGGGUAGAGCUAGAGAGAGGGAAGGGAAGUUAACAAUGAAGAAGGCCCUGAAUGAGAGAGGCUGGGGAAGGAGAUGUAAACACCCACACUGGCCUGGGCCAGCUCUUGCUUCUCGGCUGGACCCUGUGGUCGGGGCCUGGCAGUGUCAGGGGCUUAUGCUUAAUUUUUCUAGUUUUCCACUGUCCUAGAACAUGCUGUAAAAGCUCAUGGCACAAAGGAUGCUAUAGCUUCUACCUUAUAACAAGGGGGCUAUGGAAAAGCACAAUGAAAGCAUCAGGAUUGCUGAUCAUGUGAUAUAUUCUUGGAAAUUAAAAACUUUUAGGAAUUAACUCUUUUUAAUUGUCUCCACUAGCCCACUUUUGACUGGACAGAUGUUGGAGAGAAUUGCCACAGAAUUUAAUCAGUUACAGUUUCAUGCUGUUCAAAGCAAAGGCUUGCCUCUUUUGGACAAAAUAAGACCACGUAUAGCUGGUAUUACAGCCAUGUUACAACAGUCACUGGAAGGCCUCCUG